Molecule: unclassified non-coding RNA, 117 nt
Organism: Pongo abelii (Sumatran orangutan)
Lineage: Eukaryota; Metazoa; Chordata; Mammalia; Primates; Hominidae
Rfam family: Metazoan signal recognition particle RNA
About the family: The signal recognition particle (SRP) is a universally conserved ribonucleoprotein.
Source: Ensembl
GCCGGGUGCGGUGGCUCACACCUGUAAUCCCAGCACUUUGGGAGGCCGAGGCGGGUGGAUCACCUGAGGUCGGGAGUUCGAGACCAGCCUGACCAACAUGGAGAAACCCCGUCUCUA